GAUGAAGAACGCAGCGAAAUGCGAUAAGUAGUGUGAAUUGCAGAAUUCAGUGAAUCAUCGAAUCUUUGAACGCACAUUGCGCCCCUUGGUAUUCCAUGGGGCAUGCCUGUUCGAGCGUCAUUUGUACCUUCAAGCUUUGCUUGGUGUUGGGUGUUUGUCUCGCCUUUGCGUGUAGACUCGCCUUAAAAUAAUUGGCAGCCGGCGUAUUGAUUUUGGAGCGCAGUACAUCUCGCGCUUUGCACUCAUAACGACAGCGUCCAAAAGUACAUUUUACACUCUUGACCUCGGAUCAGGUAGGGAUACCCGCUGAACUUAAGCAUAUCAAUAAGCGGAGGA
Molecule: unclassified non-coding RNA, 336 nt
Filed under: soil metagenome
Description: partial contains 5.8S ribosomal RNA, internal transcribed spacer 2, and large subunit ribosomal RNA
Rfam family: 5.8S ribosomal RNA (bases 1-120)
Source: RNAcentral